Molecule: ribosomal RNA, 406 nt
Filed under: uncultured bacterium
Lineage: Bacteria
Description: partial 16S ribosomal RNA
Rfam family: Bacterial small subunit ribosomal RNA
Source: RNAcentral
AUUGAACGCUGGCGGCAGGCCUAACACAUGCAAGUCGAACGAGUGGCGGACGGGUGAGUAAUGUCUGGGAAACUGCCUGAUGGAGGGGGAUAACUACUGGAAACGGUAGCUAAUACCGCAUACCAUCGGAUGUGCCCCGAUGGGAUUAGCUAGUAGGGGGGGUAAAGGCUCACCUAGGUGACGAUCCCUAGCUGGUCUGAGAGGAUGACCAGCCACACGGGAACGGAGACACGGGCCAGAAUCCUACGGGAGGCAGCGUUGGGGAAUAUUGCACAAGGGGCGCAAGCCUGAUGCAGCCAUGCCGCGUGUAUGAAGAAGGCCUUCGGGUUGUAAAGUACUUUCAGCGGGGAGUCGUUACCCGCAGAAGAAGCACCGGCUAACUCCGUGCCAGCAGCCGCGGUAAUUC